UUGUGCUUGAUCUAACCAUGUGCCCCCGCCUACACUCGCCUCACAUGGUUCCGUCAAGCACCAGG
Hucho hucho (huchen) is the source of this 65-nucleotide microRNA precursor. The record is from Ensembl. NCBI's taxonomy places the organism in Eukaryota, Metazoa, Chordata, Actinopteri, Salmoniformes, Salmonidae.